GACGAACGCUGGCGGCGUGCCUAAUACAUGCAAGUAGAACGCUGAAGGAGGAGCUUGCUUCUCUGGAUGAGUUGCGAACGGGUGAGUAACGCGUAGGUAACCUGCCUGGUAGCGGGGGAUAACUAUUGGAAACGAUAGCUAAUACCGCAUAAUAGUAGAUGUUGCAUGACAUUUACUUAAAAGGUGCAAUUGCAUCACUACCAGAUGGACCUGCGUUGUAUUAGCUAGUUGGUGGGGUAACGGCUCACCAAGGCGACGAUACAUAGCCGACCUGAGAGGGUGAUCGGCCACACUGGGACUGAGACACGGCCCAGACUCCUACGGGAGGCAGCAGUAGGGAAUCUUCGGCAAUAGACGAAAGUCUGACCGAGCAACGCCGCGUGAGUGAAGAAGGGUUUCGGAUCGUAAAGCUCGGUUGUAAGAGAAGAACGAGUGUGAGAGUGGAAAGUUCACACUGUGACGGUAGCUUACCAGAAAGGGACGGCUAACUACGUG
This 495-nucleotide ribosomal RNA is filed under the name uncultured bacterium. Its description in RNAcentral is "partial 16S ribosomal RNA". It matches the Rfam family "Bacterial small subunit ribosomal RNA", at positions 28 to 507 of the family's 1533-position model. The record is from RNAcentral.